RNAcentral lists this ribosomal RNA (499 nucleotides) under uncultured bacterium. Its description in RNAcentral is "partial 16S ribosomal RNA". It matches the Rfam family "Bacterial small subunit ribosomal RNA", at positions 28 to 507 of the family's 1533-position model. The record is from RNAcentral.
GACGAACGCUGGCGGCGUGCCUAAUACAUGUAAGUCUGUCGAAGUUUUUCUGGUGCUUGCACUAGAAAAAAUUAUCGGCGAACGGGUUAGUAACACGUAAAGAACCUGCCUCAUAGACUGGGACAACUAUUGGAAACGAUAGCUAAUACCGGAUAACAGUAUUUCUCGCAUGAGUGAUAUUUAAAAGUUUGUUAUGCUAACACUAUCAGAUGGCUUUGCGGUGCAUUAGCUAGUUGGUGGGGUAAAGGCCCACCAAGGCGACGAUGCAUAGCCGACCUGAGAGGGUGAUAGGCCACACGGGGACUAAGAAACGGCCCAGACUCCUACGGGAGGCAGCAGUAGGGAAUCUUCAGCAAAGGGCGAAAGCCUGAAGGAGCAACGCCGAGUGCGUGAAGAAGGAGUUCGGUUCGUAAAGCACUGUUGUUAGGGAAGAAUGGAUAUGUAGUAACUAUACAUGUAAGAGACGGUACCUAAGCAGAAAGCCACGGAUAACUACGUG